RNAcentral lists this ribosomal RNA (346 nucleotides) under uncultured Methanolinea sp. RNAcentral describes it as "bacterial SSU rRNA". It matches the Rfam family "Archaeal small subunit ribosomal RNA", at positions 995 to 1338 of the family's 1478-position model. The record is from RNAcentral. Lineage: Archaea; Methanobacteriati; Methanobacteriota; Methanomicrobia; Methanomicrobiales; Methanoregulaceae.
UGGCCGUCGUCAGUUCGUACUGUGAGCAUCCUGUUAAGUCAGGCAACGAGCGAGACCCACGCCAACAGUUGCCAGCAUGUCCUCCGGGAUGAUGGGGACACUGUUGGGACCGCCUCUGCUAAAGAGGAGGAAGGAAUGGGCAACGGUAGGUCAGCAUGCCCCGAAUUAUCCGGGCUACACGCGGGCUACAAUGGUCAGGACAAUGGGUAUCGACACCGAGAGGUGGAGGCAAUCUCCUAAACCUGUCCUUAGUUCGGAUUGUGGGCUGCAACUCGCCCACAUGAAGCUGGAAUCCGUAGUAAUCGCGUUUCAAAAUAGCGCGGUGAAUAUGUCCCUGCUCCGUUGU